CGGACGGGUGAGUAACGCGUGAGAAUCUAGCUUCAGGUUCGGGACAACAUUGGGAAACCGAUGCUAAUACCGGAUGUGCCGAGAGGUGAAAGGCUUGCUGCCUGAAGAAGAGCUCGCGUCUGAUUAGCUAGUUGGUGGUGUAAGGGACUACCAAGGCGACGAUCAGUAGCUGGUCUGAGAGGAUGAUCAGCCACACUGGAACUGAGACACGGUCCAGACUCCUACGGGAGGCAGCAGUGGGGAAUUUUCCGCAAUGGGCGAAAGCCUGACGGAGCAAUACCGCGUGAGCAAGGGGGCUCUUGGGUUGUAAACCUCUUUUCUCAGGGAAUAAGCAAUGAAGGUACCUGAGGAAUCAGCAUCGGCUAACUCCGUGCCAGCAGCCGCGGUAAUACGGAGGAUGCAAGCGUUAUCCGGAAUCAUUGGGCGUAAAGCGUCCGCAGGUGGUAGUUCAAGUCUACUGUCAAAGGCUGUGGCUUAACUACUGACAGGCAGUGGAAACUGAACAGCUAGAGUGCGGUAGGGGUAGAGGGAAUUCCCGGUGUAGCGGUGAAAUGCGUAGAGAUCGGGAAGAACACCAGUGGCGAAAGCGCUCUGCUGGACCUGCACUGACACUGAGGGACGAAAGCUAGGGGAGCGAAUGGGAUUAGAUACCCCAGUAGUC
This 661-nucleotide ribosomal RNA is filed under the name uncultured Oscillatoria sp. Its description in RNAcentral is "bacterial SSU rRNA". It matches the Rfam family "Bacterial small subunit ribosomal RNA", at positions 99 to 795 of the family's 1533-position model. Lineage: Bacteria; Bacillati; Cyanobacteriota; Cyanophyceae; Oscillatoriales; Oscillatoriaceae. The record is from RNAcentral.